Molecule: ribosomal RNA, 253 nt
Filed under: uncultured bacterium
Lineage: Bacteria
Description: partial 16S ribosomal RNA
Rfam family: Bacterial small subunit ribosomal RNA
Source: RNAcentral
UACGUAGGGUGCAAGCGUUGUCCGGAAUUAUUGGGCGUAAAGAGCUCGUAGGCGGUCUGUCACGUCGGCUGUGAAAUCCCGAGGCUCAACCUCGGGUCUGCAGUCGAUACGGGCAAACUAGAGUAUUGCAGGGGAGACUGGAAUUCCUGGUGUAGCGGUGAAAUGCGCAGAUAUCAGGAGGAGCACCGGUGGCGAAGGCGGGUCUCUGGGCAAUAACUGACGCUGAGGAGCGAAAGCGUGGGGAGCGAACAGG